GAUGAACGCUGGCGGCGUGCCUAAUACAUGCAAGUCGAGCGAACGGAUGAGGAGCUUGCUCCUCUGACGUUAGCGGCGGACGGGUGAGUAACACGUGGAUAACCUACCUAUAAGACUGGGAUAACUUCGGGAAACCGGAGCUAAUACCGGAUAAUAUUUUGAACCGCAUGAUUCAAUAGUGAAAGACGGUCUUGCUGUCACUUAUAGAUGGAUCCGCGCUGCAUUAGCUAGUUGGUAAGGUAACGGCUUACCAAGGCAACGAUGCAUAGCCGACCUGAGAGGGUGAUCGGCCACACUGGAACUGAGACACGGUCCAGACUCCUACGGGAGGCAGCAGUAGGGAAUCUUCCGCAAUGGGCGAAAGCCUGACGGAGCAACGCCGCGUGAGUGAUGAAGGUCUUCGGAUCGUAAAACUCUGUUAUUAGGGAAGAACAAAUGUGUAAGUAACUAUGCACAUCUUGACGGUACCUAAUCAGAAAGCCACGGCUAACUACGUG
Molecule: ribosomal RNA, 497 nt
Filed under: uncultured bacterium
Lineage: Bacteria
Description: partial 16S ribosomal RNA
Rfam family: Bacterial small subunit ribosomal RNA
Source: RNAcentral